RNAcentral lists this ribosomal RNA (750 nucleotides) under uncultured bacterium. RNAcentral describes it as "bacterial SSU rRNA". It matches the Rfam family "Bacterial small subunit ribosomal RNA", at positions 43 to 772 of the family's 1533-position model. The record is from RNAcentral.
CAGGCCUAACACAUGCAAGUCGAGCGGAAACGACACUAACAAUCCUUCGGGUGCGUUAAUGGGCGUCGAGCGGCGGACGGGUGAGUAAUGCCUAGGAAAUUGCCUUGAUGUGGGGGAUAACCAUUGGAAACGAUGGCUAAUACCGCAUAAUGCCUACGGGCCAAAGAGGGGGACCUUCGGGCCUCUCGCGUCAAGAUAUGCCUAGGUGGGAUUAGCUAGUUGGUGAGGUAAUGGCUCACCAAGGCGACGAUCCCUAGCUGGUCUGAGAGGAUGAUCAGCCACACUGGAACUGAGACACGGUCCAGACUCCUACGGGAGGCAGCAGUGGGGAAUAUUGCACAAUGGGCGAAAGCCUGAUGCAGCCAUGCCGCGUGUAUGAAGUAGGCCUUCGGGUUGUAAAGUACUUUCAGUUGUGAGGAAGGGGGUAGCGUUAAUAGCGCUAUCUCUUGACGUUAGCAACAGAAGAAGCACCGGCUAACUCCGUGCCAGCAGCCGCGGUAAUACGGAGGGUGCGAGCGUUAAUCGGAAUUACUGGGCGUAAAGCGCAUGCAGGUGGUUCAUUAAGUCAGAUGUGAAAGCCCGGGGCUCAACCUCGGAACUGCAUUUGAAACUGGUGAACUAGAGUACUGUAGAGGGGGGUAGAAUUUCAGGUGUAGCGGUGAAAUGCGUAGAGAUCUGAAGGAAUACCAGUGGCGAAGGCGGCCCCCUGGACAGAUACUGACACUCAGAUGCGAAAGCGUGGGGAGCAAA